This is a long non-coding RNA of Chelonus insularis, 1014 nucleotides long. RefSeq lists it as uncharacterized. The transcript is spliced from 3 exons. NCBI's taxonomy places the organism in Eukaryota, Metazoa, Arthropoda, Insecta, Hymenoptera, Braconidae. The record is from RefSeq and is a predicted model, not a curated record.
ACCGGAACCGGAGGUUGGACAGCCUGAUUCAACGGCUAAAAAGUUUGCCGCUACAGAUGGAGGAGACCUGUAGAAAACGUUUUAUUAGUGCUAAAGUUUAUUUAUAUUCAACUUAAUUAUUAUUAUCAAUAAAUUAUUUUAUAUUAAAUUAACCUGAAACACUUUACAUAUGACCCAGGUUUAAAAAAUUCAUGAUUGGGAACCGUUUUUUGUAAAUAAUAAAAUGUCUCCGUUGUCUGUGAGUAGAUCAUCAUCACCUAAACUAAAUUUAUUGAAAGCUCCAAAUAAUAUGGCCAAUGAUAUUCAAGAGAAACGAUUAACAUAAUACCGGGAAAAAUGUAAGAUGUUAAAGCAUCAGUUACUUGCUGCGGAAAAAGAGAUCGAAUUACAUACAAAAUCUGUGGAAAGGUCCGAAUGACUCUUUUUUGCACUGCAUCGAGAGUUAGAAAACAGACGGAAAAAAAGUUGAAAAUAUAUGAAAAAGAAGGUGCCUCCACCAGCCCUACGACCUCUUAAGCCUCUGCUCCUUCCCUUUCUAUGUCAAUUCCACCUUUCAUUCAUACUUACGUUGCUCGUCGUCUUCUCCAAAAAAGUCAAAGCCCCUUGUAAUGCACUACUCUCCACACCACCAACUGGAAAACCACUAACACGACCUGCACCUACACUUCAUGAACAUUCCUUGUUGGACACAUUUACACUCUGAAGACCUGGUGGACCUGGUGUUGCACCACUACCUGGCUACACCUGUGACGUCAAGUUGGAGGAAUUCAGAUUUUAUAGACUUGAAGAAAUUUAUUUAUUUUGCAAAAAAAAAUUAUAUUGCAAAUAAUUAAAUAGUAUAUAAAAAGUUAGUGUAGCAGAAAAAAAUAAAUUAAACCAAUUGAUGUUAACUAUCUAUAUUUAGAAUACUUUCAAAUCAUUUAGCCUAGCUAGCAGAUAAUAAACAGAAAAUAUUUAAUUGAAAAAAGUACUAUUACAUUUUUUACAUGUAUAAUAAAAUGUUUUUAUUUCACA